Molecule: ribosomal RNA, 1369 nt
Filed under: uncultured bacterium
Lineage: Bacteria
Description: bacterial SSU rRNA
Rfam family: Bacterial small subunit ribosomal RNA
Source: RNAcentral
GACGAACGCUGGCGGCGUGCCUAAUACAUGCAAGUAGAACGCUGAAGAGAGGAGCUUGCUCUUCUUGGAUGAGUUGCGAACGGGUGAGUAACGCGUAGGUAACCUGCCUUGUAGCGGGGGAUAACUAUUGGAAACGAUAGCUAAUACCGCAUAACAAUGGAUGACACAUGUCAUUUAUUUGAAAGGGGCAAUUGCUCCACUACAAGAUGGACCUGCGUUGUAUUAGCUAGUAGGUGAGGUAAUGGCUCACCUAGGCGACGAUACAUAGCCGACCUGAGAGGGUGAUCGGCCACACUGGGACUGAGACACGGCCCAGACUCCUACGGGAGGCAGCAGUAGGGAAUCUUCGGCAAUGGGGGCAACCCUGACCGAGCAACGCCGCGUGAGUGAAGAAGGUUUUCGGAUCGUAAAGCUCUGUUGUAAGUCAAGAACGGGUGUGAGAGUGGAAAGUUCACACUAUGACGGUAGCUUACCAGAAAGGGACGGCUAACUACGUGCCAGCAGCCGCGGUAAUACGUAGGUCCCGAGCGUUGUCCGGAUUUAUUGGGCGUAAAGCGAGCGCAGGCGGUUUGAUAAGUCUGAAGUUAAAGGCUGUGGCUCAACCAUAGUUCGCUUUGGAAACUGUCAAACUUGAGUGCAGAAGGGGAGAGUGGAAUUCCAUGUGUAGCGGUGAAAUGCGUAGAUAUAUGGAGGAACACCGGUGGCGAAAGCGGCUCUCUGGUCUGUAACUGACGCUGAGGCUCGAAAGCGUGGGGAGCGAACAGGAUUAGAUACCCUGGUAGUCCACGCCGUAAACGAUGAGUGCUAGGUGUUGGAUCCUUUCCGGGAUUCAGUGCCGCAGCUAACGCAUUAAGCACUCCGCCUGGGGAGUACGACCGCAAGGUUGAAACUCAAAGGAAUUGACGGGGGCCCGCACAAGCGGUGGAGCAUGUGGUUUAAUUCGAAGCAACGCGAAGAACCUUACCAGGUCUUGACAUCCCGAUGCUAUUUCUAGAGAUAGAAAGUUACUUCGGUACAUCGGUGACAGGUGGUGCAUGGUUGUCGUCAGCUCGUGUCGUGAGAUGUUGGGUUAAGUCCCGCAACGGGCGCAACCCCUAUUGUUAGUUGCCAUCAUUCAGUUGGGCACUCUAGCGAGACUGCCGGUAAUAAACCGGAGGAAGGUGGGGAUGACGUCAAAUCAUCAUGCCCCUUAUGACCUGGGCUACACACGUGCUACAAUGGUUGGUACAACGAGUUGCGAGUCGGUGACGGCGAGCUAAUCUCUUAAAGCCAAUCUCAGUUCGGAUUGUAGGCUGCAACUCGCCUACAUGAAGUCGGAAUCGCUAGUAAUCGCGGAUCAGCACGCCGCGGUGAAUACGUUCCCGGGCCU